RNAcentral lists this small RNA (444 nucleotides) under Arabidopsis thaliana (thale cress). Its description in RNAcentral is "ATSL110450". The record is from RNAcentral. Lineage: Eukaryota; Viridiplantae; Streptophyta; Magnoliopsida; Brassicales; Brassicaceae.
UAAAAGUUAAGGAAGAAAAAACAUUGGUAAUUUUAGUCACAUAUUGCUUACCUUUGGACUCUAUUAGGAUCAGUAUGAUGCAAGACUCGAUGGUAGGCCUUGUAUUAAAUAGAGAUGGUGGCUUCACAAAUUGGCAUUCGCUCUAUUUUGUGAAUGAUUGAUGGUCGAUGAUGUAGAACUGACACGAUGGCGGCCGCUGCUCUUGUGUGGGAUCAAAUGGAAGGGAUGUGUUGGUGGAGUGAAGUGCACUACAAAUAUGUGAUUGAUCUCUGAUACAGUACUCAACCUUGGUGAAUAACACACACAAGACAAAGAACAAGCUUACUCUCUCAAUAACACUUAAAGAGAAUAAGUAAGAAAAUGCGGCUUCUUUGUUAAGGGUGAAAAUUCGUACAAUUGUUGAAGAGGGACUUUAUAAGAGUCCUUCAGCUAGCCCUAAGGCCA